CUCUUCCUGAUGCCUUCGGAUCUGGAUAUAGAAUGCUCUCCUCCUCUCAAGCACCAGGUCUGCCUACACACGGCUGUGCUUCCCACCAUGAUGAUAAUGAACUAAACCCCUGAAACUAAGCCAGCCCAGAGUAUGUUUUCCAUCAUGAGAGCUGCCAUGGUCAUGGGGUCUCUUCACAGCAAGAGAACCCCUGACUCAGACAGUAGCCAUGUCUGUUUGUCAACUUGAUGAUACCCGGAAUGAGCAAUCAUCCAGAAGUGGAGGACAUACCUAUGGGAGAUGACUCCGCUGGUUUUGUAGUGGAUGAAUCUACUUCUAGACCAGCUUUGAGGUGAGAUCUGGAUCUUGAGGUGGGAAGACAUACCUUUAACCUGGGCCACACCCUCUGCUGGAAGUCUAUGGAAGAGGACGACAUAGGAAGCUUUCGUUCUUUGCCUGCUCACCCUCGCCUCUCGAGCACAUCCAUCCCUUCACUGGCGUUAGCGCCGCCUACUUCUGCGGGAUUCCGGCAGAUACAGGAGAUCAGCUGAGACAUCCAGCCUUGUGGACCAAGCAACCACUGGAUUCUUGGGCUUUAUGUUCAUGGUCAAUUGUUGUUUGAUUAGCUGGACAACAGCCUCUCUCUCUCUCUCUCUCUCUCUCCAUAUAUAUAUGUAUAUAUAUGAGAUAGAUAGAUAGAUAGAUAGAUAGAUAGAUAGAUAGAUAGAUAGAUAGAUAGAGAAAAGUAGAUAGACAGAGAGGGGGGAGAGAGAUUCAUUCUAUAAGUUCUGCUCUAGAGAACCGUGACGAAUACACCUUCUUCUUAACCUUCUUCUUCUUCUUCUUCUUCUUCUUCUUCUUCUUCUUCUUCUUCUUCUUCUUCUUCUUCUUCUUCUUCUUCUUCUUCUUCUUCUUCUUCUUCUUUUUCUGAGAGAUAGUCUCCCAUAGUUGCUCAGGCCCUUGGGCUUCCUCUUCAGCACAAAUAGCUUUGAAUUUUCUCUCCUGUCUCAGCCUCCAGUAGCUAUAGUCUGUUGCCACCAGGUUUGGCUUACUAGCAUUAUUUUGACACCACUAAUUUUGUGUCAUAGCAUCAAUAGAAAAACCAGCUGAGUCUAGUCAAUGGAAAACCCAAAACAAGACGUUAGCAUAGGUGCCACCAGCAAUAUCUGCAGAAGACCACGGACUCGGAGUGGAGUCCAGCAUCUGCUCAGUACACCAAGCAAAUGUCGGGAAAGUUCAAAGGCAGGAUCUGCGAAUCAUUGGCUCCUGGAGACCCUGAAAUGGACUGAGCAGCUAACUAUUAAGUCCUGUGUGUAUGUGUCAGUUCUCUUGCUCUGCAGACACCUUCAGAAUUCAGCGCUGGCUGCCGUUCUUAGAACCUGUUCUGUUCUUGGAGCAGUGUCAUUGUUGUAUUGUUUUCUUUGUUCAACUAAACUCUACUUCCUAUG
Molecule: long non-coding RNA, 1427 nt
Filed under: Mus musculus (house mouse)
Lineage: Eukaryota; Metazoa; Chordata; Mammalia; Rodentia; Muridae
Description: RIKEN cDNA C430042M11 gene
Source: RNAcentral